RNAcentral lists this ribosomal RNA (496 nucleotides) under uncultured bacterium. RNAcentral's name for it is "partial 16S ribosomal RNA". It matches the Rfam family "Bacterial small subunit ribosomal RNA", at positions 28 to 507 of the family's 1533-position model. The record is from RNAcentral.
GAUGAACGCUGGCGGCGUGCCUAAUACAUGCAAGUCGAGCGAACGGACGAGAAGCUUGCUUCUCUGAUGUUAGCGGCGGACGGGUGAGUAACACGUGGAUAACCUACCUAUAAGACUGGGAUAACUUCGGGAAACCGGAGCUAAUACCGGAUAAUAUUUUGAACCGCAUGGUUCAAAAGUGAAAGACGGUCUUGCUGUCACUUAUAGAUGGAUCCGCGCUGCAUUAGCUAGUUGGUAAGGUAACGGCUUACCAAGGCAACGAUGCAUAGCCGACCUGAGAGGGUGAUCGGCCACACUGGAACUGAGACACGGUCCAGACUCCUACGGGAGGCAGCAGUAGGGAAUCUUCCGCAAUGGGCGAAAGCCUGACGGAGCAACGCCGCGUGAGUGAUGAAGGUCUUCGGAUCGUAAGACUCUGUUAUUAGGGAAGAACAUAUGUGUAAGUAACUGUGCACAUCUUGACGGUACCUAAUAGAAAGCCACGGCUAACUACGUG